UUUUAUUUUCAAUUUUAACGAAAGAAGCAGGAUCCCCAAAACUUUUAGACCCGCCGGACGAAAAACACACUCCCCAAAUCGUCUCCGUCGGAGUCCGCCAUAUCGCUGCUUCCGAAUCCGCCGCUUUCUCCAAAUCGCCGCUGCACCAGAGUCGACGCUGCUGCUGACUCCAUUUCAACGCCCGCACCUGCCGCCGUCGCUCGGCGCCGCAGAAGCUGCUCCGGCGGCCUCGACCUCAUCCGAAGCAGCCCCGUUUUCCCCAUUAAAGAUUAGGGUAUGAGAGCGUGAGAUCAUGGAAGGAUCUAAGGGGAGAAAGAAAAAGAAACACAUAAGGGACGAAGAGGGAGAUCUCUGCAUGCAGAAUAUAUAUGUAUAUAUAUAUAUAUUUAAAAAUAUGUAAGCAAGGAAAGUCUUGAUUGUGGUUCAAUUUCUUGUAUUUUAUUUAAAUUGUAUAGCCCAUAAUUUAUUUUUCCGCAAGAUUGGAUUUUGUAUUA
Long non-coding RNA from Salvia splendens (bonfire salvia), 494 nucleotides. RefSeq lists it as uncharacterized. The record is from RefSeq and is a predicted model, not a curated record. NCBI's taxonomy places the organism in Eukaryota, Viridiplantae, Streptophyta, Magnoliopsida, Lamiales, Lamiaceae. The transcript is spliced from 3 exons.